This 262-nucleotide long non-coding RNA is filed under the name Carica papaya (papaya). RNAcentral's name for it is "long non-coding RNA (CPAP_LNC008918)". Lineage: Eukaryota; Viridiplantae; Streptophyta; Magnoliopsida; Brassicales; Caricaceae. The record is from RNAcentral.
AAUCUAUAUGCUUUGGAGUUAAUAUAACAACUUGUUGCAUGAAAGUAGCCAUACCGAUUAGGAGGACAAGAAACUCAAGUAGAGCAUUUAAGACCUAGUGCAGGAGGCUCAGAAUCUGAAGUAAUUGUAGAUGUCACAUCUGAUUCAAUAAUAGUCGGUUGAAUAGGCUCAAAUGAUUGGUCAAUAUUAGAAAGAGGCAAAGUUUGGCGAUCAUCAAAGUAAGGAAGACUACUGACUUUAAGUAAUGACCAAGUAUAUGUAG